This 913-nucleotide long non-coding RNA is filed under the name Mustela putorius furo (domestic ferret). RNAcentral's name for it is "lncRNA (ENSMPUG00000029780.1)". Lineage: Eukaryota; Metazoa; Chordata; Mammalia; Carnivora; Mustelidae. The record is from RNAcentral.
CCUCCUUCCCAGCAGCCCUCAACCUCCACUGGAAGAUAGCUAUGGUUGUGGGGCAGUGAACGCCAUCCUCCCCAGCACAGGUGCAGGGAACGCAGGUGCAGCCAAUAGGCCACUCAGUUCACCGGCCACGGUCACUGGUACAGGGCUGCACACGUGACCCCAGGCCUUGCACGUGGAACGCUGGGACGGACACUCCCUGCGUCCUGCGCUGUGUGGUGGCAUUGCAGAUACGGGGCCUGGAGCGACAGCGACCAUUUCUACCAUCCAUCUGUCAUGCCCCCUGGGGCCGAUGCUAAUUCAGAGGAGGCGAGUUGAGAGAAUUGAAAGGAAAGAGCAGUGGAGCCCCAAAACAGUGUGGACCUCACACUCAGAUCGUACCUGAAUUCCGCCCUGUUUUUGGACUCUUCCGGAUCUUUUUAUUUGUCAGAGAGCACAAGAGUGGAGAGCGGCAGGCAGAAGGAGAAGCAGGCUCCCGGCUGAGCAAGGAGCCCGGUGCGGGACUUGAUCCCAGGACACCGGGAUCAUGACCUGAGCCGAAGGCAGAUGCUUAACGGACUGAGCCACCCUCAUUUUCCUGACUAUUAACAGCAUGGACUUUGAACAUCUACCACAAGCCCGGCACCAUUCAAAGUACUGGGAGCACUGCUCUGUGUCAAUAGGAAUGACUUCUGGCAGGAAGUGACCAAAACAUCAAAAGCAACGGCUUACAGCAAAUUUACUUCUUUGAGAGAGAGAAAGAGCAGAGAGGGAGAAAAUCCCAAGCAGACUCCCCACUCAGUGCAGAACUGGACACAGGGGUCGAUCCCACAACCCCGACGUCAUGACCUGAGCCAACACCAAGAGUUGGACAACAUACUGAGCCACCCAAGUGCCUCUACAUUUUCAUUGCUUAAAAAUGUCUUUUUGUGUUUCA